This is a small RNA of Mesonia phycicola, 97 nucleotides long. It matches the Rfam family "Flavo-1 RNA". The record is from Rfam. Lineage: Bacteria; Pseudomonadati; Bacteroidota; Flavobacteriia; Flavobacteriales; Flavobacteriaceae.
GUUUUGCGUUAGGGAUAGUAGCGGUAUCCUUUUUAUUUUGUUUUAGGAUUUUGCUUUUUUACAAAAUAAAAAUAUAUAGCGAAUAGCCCGCCGUUUG